GUCUUAUCAAGAGAGAUGGAGGGACUGGCCCGAUGAAAUCUCGGCAACAGGAUGCAUUCACUGUGCCAAUUCCAGUAGCGCAAUUGCUAGAAGAUAAGUC
Molecule: regulatory RNA element, 100 nt
Organism: Staphylococcus sp. HGB0015
Lineage: Bacteria; Bacillati; Bacillota; Bacilli; Caryophanales; Staphylococcaceae
Rfam family: SAM riboswitch aptamer (S box leader)
About the family: The SAM riboswitch is found upstream of a number of genes which code for proteins involved in methionine or cysteine biosynthesis in Gram-positive bacteria. The SAM riboswitch acts at the level of transcription termination control. The predicted structure consists of a complex stem-loop region followed by a single stem loop terminator region.
Source: Rfam